This 73-nucleotide transfer RNA is filed under the name Bos taurus (domestic cattle). It matches the Rfam family "tRNA". From Rfam's summary of the family: Transfer RNA (tRNA) molecules are approximately 80 nucleotides in length. Their secondary structure includes four short double-helical elements and three loops (D, anti-codon, and T loops). RNAcentral also lists the same sequence under 1 other name. Lineage: Eukaryota; Metazoa; Chordata; Mammalia; Artiodactyla; Bovidae. The record is from Rfam by way of RNAcentral.
UUCCUGGUGGUCCAGGGGCUAAGACUCUGUACUCCCAGUUCAGAGGACCUGGGUUCAAUCCCUGGUCAGGAAA